Molecule: ribosomal RNA, 483 nt
Filed under: uncultured bacterium
Lineage: Bacteria
Description: partial 16S ribosomal RNA
Rfam family: Bacterial small subunit ribosomal RNA
Source: RNAcentral
UUGAACGCUGGCGGCAGGCCUAACACAUGCAAGUCGCGCGGAUGAAGGGAGCUUGCUCCUGGAUUCAGCGACGGACGGGUGAGUAAUGCCUAGGAAUCUGCCUGGUAGUGGGGGAUAACGUCCGGAAACGGGCGCUAAUACCGCAUACGUCCUGAGGGAGAAAGUGGGGGAUCUUCGGACCUCACGCUAUCAGAUGAGCCUAGGUCGGAUUAGCUAGUUGGUGGGGUAAAGGCCUACCAAGGCGACGAUCCGUAACUGGUCUGAGAGGAUGAUCAGUCACACUGGAACUGAGACACGGUCCAGACUCCUACGGGAGGCAGCAGUGGGGAAUAUUGGACAAUGGGCGAAAGCCUGAUCCAGCCAUGCCGCGUGUGUGAAGAAGGUCUUCGGAUUGUAAAGCACUUUAAGUUGGGAGGAAGGGCAGUAAGUUAAUACCUUGCUGUUUUGACGUUACCAACAGAAUAAGCACCGGCUAACUUCGUG